AAAUAACACAAAAUACGACGAGAAAUAUAAGAGAGAAUUGAGUAAAUUU
RNAcentral lists this non-coding RNA (49 nucleotides) under Trypanosoma brucei brucei. Lineage: Eukaryota; Euglenozoa; Kinetoplastea; Trypanosomatida; Trypanosomatidae. The record is from RNAcentral.